CAGUCUCUCCGAGAUGCUUAUAGAGGUAGAGUGUGCGUGCGUAUGUUUAUAGGGAUGAGUGUAUGUAUAUAUGUGUAUGUAUAGAUGCACGGGCGUGGCUUGCCUGGCUGCCUCCCAGCCACGCGCUGCGCUGCCGCCGGCCGUGGCGUUUCCCGGCCGGCUGGCCACGCCCGAAAACAGGUUCAGCUGAUCGAGGUUGCUAUGGAUAAGCUUGCACCACAGAUUAAUUAGCGUAUCUGGUAGCUUCGUACAGGACUACCAGAUCGAUCGAGGAUCAACCAGGCCAGCUUAUGCUUUGCUGCUACGUGCGCCUUUUGCUUAAUCCAACAGGUUCAGCUGUUCGAUGUUGAUUUGGGGUCAAAAGCACCUGCUAGCUGCGAACCGUUCACGAGCGUUCCAUGCCGAGCCAGAUCUUGCAAGUGCACCUUGCCGGAAAGUACAUGGGGCGUCGACCAUACGCAAACUGAGCGUGCGUGAGCAAGGAUGGCAUAUAGGAGAAUCAGUUCGUCUACUCCAGUUUGUCAGGAGUUCAAGACCGAAGAAUAUGGAGUAAAUAAAUAAAUCCAAUUCAUCGUGUGGAAUCAGGUUCCUUGAACUUUUAUGGAAAAUGGAGGUUGGAAUAUAUUGUGCAAAUCUGCUUAUUUAUGGUGAUUCACAUCCAAAUUGUAAAAUAAAAUUGUAAACUUGACAUUUAACAAGCAGUUUUUUGAAAGUCUUACAUAAUAAUUGUUCUUAACUCGGCUCAGGCCUCAACCGAUAGAAAGCGGUAGACCAAUCUUUAGCCUACUGAAUG
Molecule: long non-coding RNA, 793 nt
Organism: Lolium perenne
Lineage: Eukaryota; Viridiplantae; Streptophyta; Magnoliopsida; Poales; Poaceae
Source: RefSeq, a predicted model, not a curated record